RNAcentral lists this ribosomal RNA (647 nucleotides) under Fomitopsis sp. HD-2014. RNAcentral's name for it is "eukaryotic LSU rRNA". The stretch from base 243 to 396 matches the Rfam family "5.8S ribosomal RNA". Lineage: Eukaryota; Fungi; Basidiomycota; Agaricomycetes; Polyporales; Fomitopsidaceae. The record is from RNAcentral.
CCGUGGGACUGCGGAGGACAUUAAUGAAUUUUGAAAGGGGUUGUAGCUGGCCGUCUCUUUGGGGCGGCAUGUGCACGCCCUGAUCACUAUCCAUCUCACACACCUGUGCACACACUGUAGGUUGGCUUGUGAUCGGAGUUACGGUCUUCAUUGACUUUGCUCUGGUUGGAGGCCCUCCUAUGUAUUAUCACAAACUACUUCAGUUUAAAGAAUGUACUCUUGCGUCUAACGCAUUUAAAUACAACUUUCAGCAACGGAUCUCUUGGCUCUCGCAUCGAUGAAGAACGCAGCGAAAUGCGAUAAGUAAUGUGAAUUGCAGAAUUCAGUGAAUCAUCGAAUCUUUGAACGCACCUUGCGCUCCUUGGUAUUCCGAGGAGCAUGCCUGUUUGAGUGUCAUGGAAUUCUCAACUCUAUUUGCUUUUGUGAAUAGAGCUUGGAUUUGGAGGUUUAUUGCUGGUACUUGUGAUCGGCUCCUCUUGAAUGCAUUAGCUCGAACCUUUGCGGAUCAGCUAUCGGUGUGAUAAUUGUCUACGCCGUUGCAGUGAAGCAUAUCAAUGGGCUCGGCUUCCAAUCGUCCUUUACUGGACAAUGACUUUGACCUCUGACCUCAAAUCAGGUAGGAUUACCCGCUGAACUUAAGCAUACUA